AUGCCUGUGGACCUCCACGCACUCCUGAGACAUACAACGCGGCUGUUACUGAGCUUCAGACUAAUAACACUGAAGACGUCCGCGGAAUAAAGUGCAAAUAUGAGUGACACAGAGCGAAUGUUCUUAGAUGAUGCCAUCAUGGAAGUACUACCAGACCUUCCACCGGCAACCAAAAACAUCCUCCAAGAACACUUGCAAUCCAUUGGAGUUGAGAUGUAUGAUGAUCUACAUUUCAUACAGGAGGCUGAUUUAAUGACUGCAUUAAGACCUAUACAAGCCAGAAAACUUCUUUCUGUUUGGAAACAGAAAUACCAGACUCCUGAGCCCAGCUCACUGUCAUCUAUCUAUCAGUUUCUCCCCGAAGUUCAUCUUCAACCUCCUCCAGUAGUAGCAGCCCAGGACUCGAUACACAGUGGGAG
Long non-coding RNA from Boleophthalmus pectinirostris (great blue-spotted mudskipper), 419 nucleotides. RefSeq lists it as uncharacterized. Lineage: Eukaryota; Metazoa; Chordata; Actinopteri; Gobiiformes; Gobiidae. The record is from RefSeq and is a predicted model, not a curated record. The transcript is spliced from 3 exons.